UACGGAGGGUCCAAGCGUUAUCCGGAAUCACUGGGUUUAAAGGGUGCGUAGGCGGAAGAUUAAGUCUAAGUUGAAAGUAUGUCGCUCAACGAUAUAGUUGGCAUGGAUACUGGUUUUCUUGAAUUGGGUUGAGGAUAGCGGAAUGUGACAUGUAGCGGUGAAAUGCAUAGAUAUGUCAUAGAACACCAAAUGCGAAGGCAGCUAUCUGGGCCUUGAUUGACGCUGAGGCACGAAAGCGUGGGGAUCGAACAGG
RNAcentral lists this ribosomal RNA (253 nucleotides) under uncultured bacterium. Its description in RNAcentral is "partial 16S ribosomal RNA". It matches the Rfam family "Bacterial small subunit ribosomal RNA", at positions 524 to 776 of the family's 1533-position model. The record is from RNAcentral.